Long non-coding RNA from Leucoraja erinaceus (little skate), 406 nucleotides. RefSeq lists it as uncharacterized. NCBI's taxonomy places the organism in Eukaryota, Metazoa, Chordata, Chondrichthyes, Rajiformes, Rajidae. The transcript has 2 exons. The record is from RefSeq and is a predicted model, not a curated record.
AAAGAGUUGGGGUUCUGCCGAAAGACUACAGUUAGAAAUAAACAGUCCAGCUUUCGUAGGCCCGAGAGACAGUGCUUCUUUUAGAAGUUUGGACUCCAAAAUCAACAAAUUCUCUUUACGAUGGGUACUUUGUGACUGAAUUCAACAAGAACGCGUCUUUAACGUAACAAAACAUCUACUAAAUGAUCAGCACUGACCAGUUAUAAAAGACCUGGAAAAUGCUCCUGCACGUACAAGAUGACCAUAGAACAUGGAACAUAGAAAAAUACAGCACAGGAACUGGCCCUUUGGCCCCCAUGUCUGUGGCGAACAUGAUUACAAGAUAAACUAAUCUCAUUUAUCUGCACAUGAUCCAUAAUCUCUCUUUCUGUAUUCAAGUCUCUGUAUAAACAACUCUUAAAUACCA